This is a long non-coding RNA of Peromyscus eremicus (cactus mouse), 1567 nucleotides long. RefSeq lists it as uncharacterized. NCBI's taxonomy places the organism in Eukaryota, Metazoa, Chordata, Mammalia, Rodentia, Cricetidae. The record is from RefSeq and is a predicted model, not a curated record. The transcript has 3 exons.
UGACCUGAGAGUUGUAAGCUAAAAUAAAUCCUUUCCUGUCUGAGUUGUUUUUGGUCAUGGUGUUUAUCACAGCAAUAGAAACUCUAAUUAAGACAAUGGCCUUAUAAAAUGCCAUUAUAAAUAAAAUAUGCAUGGUCUCUUUCAACUCCCAUGCCAAAUUCUAGGGGGAGAGGCUAUGAUUAGCUUAGUUUAGCUUAAGCCAGGAGCCCGUUUUUGGUCACAAUAUCUGGGAUUGAGGGACAAGGUUAUUAGGUCCAACCAUGAUUGGAUGGGAGCAAUCUUUAGAGAAGUCUGUAUAUGACUGGGAGGAAAAAAAAAAUCUUCUAAUUGACUGACUGAGGAAAAAAAAAAUCUUCUAAUUGACUGAUUCCAACGGAGAGAAAGUUGGAGAGUUUGGGAGUGAAAACAGAUGUUUAAAGUGUGGAUGGAGUUUUAGUUAGUGCUAGGUGAGAGGUAAAAGUGGUGAGAAGAAUGUGGCUUGAGCAGAAGGUGUGAUAGUAGGUUAAGCCACCAAAGAGCUGAAGCACGUGUGAAUGACUUGACUCUGAGGGAAAGCAGUCCAGCAGAACGUGUGUGAAGCAGGAGCAAAUAGGACAUUCAGAGACUCAGUGCGCGUGUGCCAGUCUCCGUAUUGAAACUUGGGUUGUUUUGUAGGAUGCUCUGGAGCGCACAGAGGGCAUACACUGCUUGGGGAGGUGGCACAUGGUCCUUCUCUUGCAUGUACCUGAGAGAAAAGGCAUGUUCCUGAGAAGAGAAUGACGACAGAACCGGGGCUUUGCAGUGACAUGGAAAGCUAAGUCAGCAAAGGACAUGACCUUGGCAGUAAAGCUGUGGUUUUCACUCUUUAGAUCCGCAGCCGUCAGAGAGGAUGAAGUCUAGUGGCCUCCUUCGGAAGCAUGAGAAGGGCAAAGCUCAGCUGUGCUGUGAACUAUUAAAACAAAAAGAAGAAGAAGAAAAGCAAGAACCAGUAUCAAAGAGACCUUGAAUUCCUCCCAGCCUGUGGCUGACCAGCUAUGUUCUGCAAGUCCGUCUGUCUUCUUGUCCUGCGGCAGUGUGUCUAUCCUGUGCCAGGAAUGACUGACAGACUUCACACAGACACCAUAUCUAAUUUUCACAAUAACUGAGUGAAGUAGAGACCUUCAUCACCACCCUCAAGAUAGAGAGUUCACUGGAAAUCCAGUCUGCCUGUGGCAUAUAUGCUUCGGCUUUUGCUCCUAACAAUGCUUCUUGAAUUCCUUCUCUGUGCACUUAUUAGUUUACAUUCUUGAGAGAGAAUCUAAAUGACUCAACAGAUGUUUUCUGAACAUCAGUGGGUAGCCGUUCCAGCUCUGACCUGGAAGUACCACCCCCAUUGAGGCUUCGGUAACUGUCAUGCCUACAAGGCGGAGCUGAGAGAGGACCCCUGAAGACCCGAGACCUGGAUGGUCAGGUUCUCUUGGUUCUUGGUUCCUGGAUCAUGGACGCUGAGGUAGACCGAGCAGAGUUCUCCAGAGAACACCGCUGGACUGUGCUUCACCUUUCCCAGACCCUGUUACCUAUCCCUUCACUUGUGAGUUACCCCACAAAA